Molecule: long non-coding RNA, 2536 nt
Organism: Acinonyx jubatus (cheetah)
Lineage: Eukaryota; Metazoa; Chordata; Mammalia; Carnivora; Felidae
Exons: 3
Source: RefSeq, a predicted model, not a curated record
CUCCCUCCCUCCCUCCCUCCCUCCCUCUACACCCAACAUGGGGGUCAGAUUUAUGACCUUGAGAUCAAAAGUUGCAUGCUCCUCCAGCUGAGGCCAUCCGGGUGCCCCUAUCCCUGGUAAUUUUUCUUGCUCUGAAAUCUACUUUGUCUGAAAUUGAAAUGACUACUCCAACUUUCUUUUGAUUACUGUUAACAUAGUGUAUUUUUCUCCAUCCCUUUAUUUUUUCCAAAAUUGUGAUAAAAUACACUUACCAUUUUAUUAUUCACAUUGUUGUGUAGCUAAUCUCCAGAAUCUUUUCAUCUUUCAAGAUUGAAACUCUCUAUUAAACAAUAACUCUUUAUCCUCCUCUUCCCCCAGUUUCUAGCAACUGCCUUUUUACUUUUUGUAUCUGUAAGGGGACUCAUACAAUAUUGUAGUUUAGUGACUGGCUUAUUUCACUUAGCAUAACAUCCUUAAGGUUCAUCCAUGUUGUAACAUGUCAGACUUCUUUACUUUUUAAGGCUGAAUAAUAUUCUAUUAUGGGUACGUACCACAUUUUGUUUAUUCAUCUGUCAACAGACACUUGAGUUGCUUCUGCCUUUUGGGUUUAUUGAAUAACGCUGCCAUGAAAGUGGGUGUGCAAAUUAUCUUGAGACCCUACUUUUUAAGCAUGUACCUGGAAGUGGAAUUGCUUGAUCAUAUGCAAUUCCAUUUUCAGUUUUUUGAUGAACAACCAUACUGUUUUCCAUUGUGGCUGUGCUGUUUUACAUUCCCACCAGCAGUGUACUAGGUUCUGAUUUCUCCACGCCCUUGCCAACACUUGUUAUUUUCACCUUUUUUUUUUUUAAUAGUAGCCAUCCUUGAUAGAUCUGUGUGUCUCAUGACUUUGAUUUGCAUUUCUGUAAUGAUGUUGAGCAUCUUUUUAUGUGCUUGUUGGCCAUUUGUAUAUCUUGUGGAAAAUGUCUAUUUAAGAACUUUACCCAUUUUUUAAAGGGGUUUUUUUUUGUGUUUUUAAAGUUUAUUUUUUGAGAGAGGGGAAGGGACAGAGAAGAAGAGAGAAUCUUAAGCAAAGCUCCAUGCUCAGCAUGGAGCCCAAUGUGGGGCUCAAAUUCACGAACUGUGAGAUCAGGACCUGAGCCCAAAUCAAGAGUCAGACACUUAACUGACUGAACCACCCAGGUACCCUUACCCAUUUUUUAGUUGGGUUCAUUUUUUGUUGAUUUCAGGAGCUCUUUUAUAUAUUCUGGAUAUUAAUCGCUUGUCAUUUAUAUGAUUCGUAAAUAUUUUCUUCCAUUGUACAGGUUGCCUUUUGACUCUGUUGAUUGUGCUCUUUGAUGCACAGGAAUUUUUCACUUUGAUGUAGUUCCAGUUAAUUUUUACUUUUGUUGCCGGUUUUGUUUGUGUCAUAUCCAAGAAAUCAUUGCCAAAUCAAGUUGUCAUGAAGCUUUUCUUUUAUGUUUUCUUCUUCGUUUUAUAGUUUUACCAUGCCUUUUACUGUUAACAUGUUUUUGCCUUUAUGUGUAAAAAUGAGUUUUGGGACAUCUAGGUGGCUCAGUUCGUUAGGCCUCUGACUCUUGAUUUCAACUCAGGUAAUGAUCUCACAGUUCUUAGGAUCAAGCCCCCAUGUUGGGCUCUGCACUUCUGACUUAUCUUUUAUUGAGCAUUUUAUAUGACUCCAUUGUUUCUUCUCUUAGCAUAUUAUUUGUGCUUUUUUUAAAGUUUAUUUAUUUAGAGAGCACACAUGAGCACACAAGCGGGGGAGAGGCAGAGAGAAAAUCCCAAGCAGACUCCGCACUGACAGCAUGGAGCCCCAUGUGGGGUUGGAACCCACAAACCGUGAGAUCAUGACCUGAGCCAAAGUCAGGAGUUGGAGGUUUAACCGACUGAGUCACCCAGAGACAGAGCAUGAAUGGGGGAGGGGCAGAGAGAGAGGGAGACACAGAAUCAGAAGCAGGCUCCAGGCUCUGAGCCAUCAGCACAGAGCCCGACGCGGGGCUUGAACUCCCGGACCGCGAGAUCGUGACCUGAGCUGAAGUCGGACGCUUAACCGACUGAGCCACCCAGUGUGCCUUAUAAUUCUUUUCUUGAAAGCCACGCAUGAUGUACUGGGUAAAAGAAACUGAGGUAAAGAGGCCUUUGGUGUGAGACCUUCUGUCUGUCUGACCAGGGAUUAGUCUCUGUUUACUGAUUGCUGUAGUGUAGAUGUCAGAAUCUAAAAUCUCCUCUGAUACCCUUCUUUUUGUCUCCCCUGUUGCCUUUGGGGUUCUUUAGAGACUUUUUUUUGUUUGUUUAUUUAGUUUGAGAGACAGAGAAGAGGAACAGAGAGAGGAGAGAGAAUUUAAAGCAGGCUCUGCACUGUCAGCACAGAAGCCUAUGUGGGUCUCAAACUCACAAACUGAGAUCAUGACCUGAGCUGGAACCAGAGCUGGAUGCUCAACCAAUUGAGCCACCCAGGCACCAUCUUUAAGUAAGGUCUGAGACCUGCAGUUCGAGUUAUAACCCCUGUUAUUGCACAGGAACCCUAUUGAUGUGGUGGCUGGGGGAGGGAAAGCACUUU